RNAcentral lists this ribosomal RNA (253 nucleotides) under uncultured bacterium. RNAcentral describes it as "partial 16S ribosomal RNA". It matches the Rfam family "Bacterial small subunit ribosomal RNA", at positions 524 to 776 of the family's 1533-position model. The record is from RNAcentral.
UACGUAGGGGGCUAGCGUUGUCCGGAAUCAUUGGGCGUAAAGAGCGUGUAGGCGGUCCGGUAAGUCCGCUGUGAAAGUCGGGGGCUCAACCCUCGAAUGCCGGUGGAUACUGUCGGGCUAGAGUGCGGAAGAGGCGAGUGGAAUUCCUGGUGUAGCGGUGAAAUGCGCAGAUAUCUGGAGGAACACCGGUGGCGAAGGCGGCAUCCUGGACCAACACUGACGCUGAUGAGCGAAAGCCAGGGGAGCAAACGGG